RNAcentral lists this ribosomal RNA (468 nucleotides) under uncultured bacterium. Its description in RNAcentral is "partial 16S ribosomal RNA". It matches the Rfam family "Bacterial small subunit ribosomal RNA", at positions 28 to 507 of the family's 1533-position model. The record is from RNAcentral.
GACGAACGCUGGCGGCGUGCUUAACACAUGCAAGUCGAACGGAAAGGCCUUGCUUUUGUGGGGUGCUCGAGUGGCGAACGGGUGAGUAACACGUGAGUAACCUGCCCUUGACUUUGGGAUAACUUCAGGAAACUGGGGCUAAUACCGGAUAGGAGCUCCUGCUGCAUGGUGGGGGUUGGAAAGUUUCGGCGGUUGGGGAUGGACUCGCGGCUUAUCAGCUUGUUGGUGGGGUAGUGGCUUACCAAGGCUUUGACGGGUAGCCGGCCUGAGAGGGUGACCGGCCACAUUGGGACUGAGAUACGGCCCAGACUCCUACGGGAGGCAGAAGUGGGGAAUAUUGCACGAUGGGCGGAAGCCUGAUGCAGCAACGCCGCGUGCGGGAUGACGGCCUUCGGGUUGUAAACCGCUUUCGCCUGUGACGAAGCGUGAGUGACGGUAAUGGGUAAAGAAGCACCGGCUAACUACGUG